GCUGGGCAUGGUGGUGCAUGCCUGUGGUUCCAGCUACUCAGGAGGCUGAGGUGGGAGGAUGGCUUGAGCCUGGGAGGCAGAGAUUGCAGUGAGCCAAGAUUGUACCACUGCACUCUAGCCUGGGCAACAGAGCCAGACCCUGCCUGUU
This is an unclassified non-coding RNA of Macaca fascicularis (crab-eating macaque), 148 nucleotides long. It matches the Rfam family "Metazoan signal recognition particle RNA". From Rfam's summary of the family: The signal recognition particle (SRP) is a universally conserved ribonucleoprotein. It is involved in the co-translational targeting of proteins to membranes. NCBI's taxonomy places the organism in Eukaryota, Metazoa, Chordata, Mammalia, Primates, Cercopithecidae. The record is from Ensembl.